RNAcentral lists this small nucleolar RNA (107 nucleotides) under Sorghum bicolor (sorghum). Its description in RNAcentral is "Plant small nucleolar RNA R71". It matches the Rfam family "Plant small nucleolar RNA R71". From Rfam's summary of the family: R71 is a member of the C/D box family of snoRNAs containing the C (UGAUGA) and D (CUGA) box motifs. Multiple nearly identical copies of this snoRNA have been identified in Arabidopsis, and it is thought to function as a 2'-O-ribose methylation guide for 18S ribosomal RNA. The record is from Rfam by way of RNAcentral. Lineage: Eukaryota; Viridiplantae; Streptophyta; Magnoliopsida; Poales; Poaceae.
AUUCCAUGAUGGGGAUGUUCUAGAAUGUUGUCUUGAAAGCGCUCCCAUGCUUCUGGAACGGAUUCAUCAUUUUGUUGCUGAAAACUUGUAAUCUUCCCACGGAGAGC